This 87-nucleotide transfer RNA is filed under the name Candidatus Margulisiibacteriota bacterium. Its description in RNAcentral is "tRNA-Ser". It matches the Rfam family "tRNA". From Rfam's summary of the family: Transfer RNA (tRNA) molecules are approximately 80 nucleotides in length. Their secondary structure includes four short double-helical elements and three loops (D, anti-codon, and T loops). Lineage: Bacteria; Bacillati; Candidatus Margulisiibacteriota. The record is from RNAcentral.
GGAGGAGUGGCCGAGUGGUUGAAGGCGGUCGCCUCGAAAGCGACUAUACCAGAAAUGGUAUCGGGGGUUCGAAUCCUCCCUCCUCCG